This 447-nucleotide ribosomal RNA is filed under the name uncultured bacterium. RNAcentral's name for it is "partial 16S ribosomal RNA". It matches the Rfam family "Bacterial small subunit ribosomal RNA", at positions 29 to 523 of the family's 1533-position model. The record is from RNAcentral.
AACGAACGCUGGCGGCAGGCUUAACACAUGCAAGUCGAGCGCCCCGCAAGGGGAGCGGCAGACGGGUGAGUAACGCGUGGGAAUCUACCCUUCACUACGGAACAACUCCGGGAAACUGGAGCUAAUACCGUAUACGUCCUUCGGGAGAAAGAUUUAUCGGUGAUGGAUGAGCCCGCGUUGGAUUAGCUAGUUGGUGGGGUAAUGGCCUACAAAGGCGACGAUCCAUAGCUGGUCUGAGAGGAUGAUCAGCCACAUUGGGACUGAGACACGGCCCAAACUCCUACGGGAGGCAGCAGUGGGGAAUUUUGGACAAUGGGCGAAAGCCUGAUCCAGCCAUGCCGCGUGAGUGAUGAAGGCCCUAGGGUUGUAAAGCUCUUUCACCGGUGAAGAUAAUGACGGUAACCGGAGAAGAAGCCCCGGCUAACUUCGUGCCAGCCGCCGCCGUAA